Non-coding RNA from Equus caballus (horse), 590 nucleotides. The record is from the annotation of a RefSeq genome assembly. NCBI's taxonomy places the organism in Eukaryota, Metazoa, Chordata, Mammalia, Perissodactyla, Equidae.
UUGGCUGAGCUGCCAACAGAAAGGCUCUCUCAUGCAUUAGAGAACAAGAACCAAGACACAGAAACAGCUCCUCGGAGAAGAAAGGGUUUGGAAUCAUCACAAAUUAUAUCAAGACUGAGAUAUCAAGAUGGAGAACAUGCUGGAAUGUGUCUUCAUAAUCUUGUGGCUUCAGUUUGGCUGGUUGAGUGGAGAAGACCAGGUGGAGCAGAGUCCUCAGACCCUGAGACGCCAGGAGGGAGACAGUCUCAGCCUCAACUGCAGUUACACGGUCAGCUAUUUUAGAGGGCUGCAGUGGUAUAGGCAGGAUCCUGGGAAAGGCCUUGAAUUCCUCUUCCUCCUGUCCUCAGUUGGGAAGCCAGAGCAUAAAGAAAGAAUAAGAGCUACACUCUUCGAGAAAGGAAGUUCUCUGCACAUCACAGACUCCAAACCUGAAGACUCAGCCACUUACCUCUGCGCUGUGGAGACACAGUGCUCCCAGGCACCUGCAAGCCUGCGCCAAAACCCUGCAGCUGCGGCCCUGGAUUAAGGGCAUCUCUGUUGUUUAUCCUCCUCAAAGAAGUAUUUACUUAGCACCCGGAACCUCUUCCCAA